This is a non-coding RNA of Caenorhabditis elegans, 78 nucleotides long. Lineage: Eukaryota; Metazoa; Nematoda; Chromadorea; Rhabditida; Rhabditidae. The record is from Ensembl.
AGAUACAAAAAAGUUGAAAACUAACAAAAUAUUUAUUUUUAAAUUUUGCACAGUUUGUCAGUUAAUAAUUUUUUGAUA